CCAACAUGAGACUUUUAACAUGUUUUGUCUUCACUCACACGUUUUCUGAAAACACUUCCCAGAAGGCUACUCAUCCCAUAAUUGCUUCAAGGCAAACACACUUAACUUUGGAGUUCUUAAGUGACGGACUACCAAAAAGGAGAUGCAUCUUGUUAGUAUAGGUAAUAUCAAUUAAUUUUUUUAAGUCAUCCUCAAUUGUACAGUUUCAUACUUGUAUAGAGGGAUCCAAAGAUUGUACAAGUAUGAUAUUGUACAAUUGAAGAUGACUUAAAGGAAUUAAUUAGUAUUAUCUAUACAACAAAAUGCAUAUACUUUUUGGUAGCCUAUUACUUAAGAACUCCACAAUUAAGCAUGCUUAUCUUGGAGCAAUUAAGGGAUGAGUGACCUUGUCGGAAGUUUCCAAGAAAGCGUGUGAAUGAGGACAAAACACGUUGAAAAGUCUCGUGUUAG
RNAcentral lists this microRNA precursor (450 nucleotides) under Glycine max (soybean). Its description in RNAcentral is "miR10428 stem-loop (gma-MIR10428)". Lineage: Eukaryota; Viridiplantae; Streptophyta; Magnoliopsida; Fabales; Fabaceae. The record is from miRBase by way of RNAcentral.